Molecule: ribosomal RNA, 801 nt
Filed under: uncultured bacterium
Lineage: Bacteria
Description: bacterial SSU rRNA
Rfam family: Bacterial small subunit ribosomal RNA
Source: RNAcentral
ACGAGAACUCUUUAGCUUGCUAAAGAUAGUAAAGUGGCGCACGGGUGAGUAACGCGUGGGUAAUCUACCUCUGAAUCGGGGAUAACCCGCCGAAAGGCGAGCUAAUACCGGAUAAUAUCUUUAAAACUUCGGUUUUUUAGAUCAAAAGUGGUCUCUACAUGUAAGCUACUGUUUGGAGAUGAGCCCGCGUACCAUUAGCUUGUUGGUAGGGUAAUGGCCUACCAAGGCCGCGAUGGUUAGCUGGUCUGAGAGGAUGAUCAGCCACACUGGAACUGACACACGGUCCAGACUCCUACGGGAGGCAGCAGUGAGGAAUUUUGCGCAAUGGGGGAAACCCUGACGCAGCAACGCCGCGUGAGUGAUGAAGGCUUUCGAGUCGUAAAGCUCUGUCAAGUGGGAAGAACCUGCUGGAUAUUAAUACUAUCUAGCACUGACGGUACCACUAAAGGAAGCACCGGCUAACUCCGUGCCAGCAGCCGCGGUAAUACGGAGGGUGCAAGCGUUAUUCGGAAUUAUUGGGCGUAAAGGGCGCGUAGGCGGUCUCUAAAGUCAGAUGUGAAAGCCCGGGGCUCAACCCCGGAAGUGCAUUUGAAACUUAGGGACUUGAGUAUGGGAGAGGGAAGUGGAAUUCCUGGUGUAGCGGUGAAAUGCGUAGAUAUCAGGAGGAACACCAGUGGCGAAGGCGACUUCCUGGACCAAUACUGACGCUGAGGCGCGAAGGCGUGGGGAGCAAACAGGAUUAGAUACCCUGGUAGUCCACGCAGUAAACGGUGAACACUAGGUGUAGCGGGUAUUGACCCC